UACGGGGGGAGCAAGCGUUGUUCGGAUUUACUGGGCGUAAAGGGCUCGUAGGUGGCCAACUAAGUCAGACGUGAAAUCCCUCGGCUUAACCGGGGAACUGCGUCUGAUACUGGACGGCUUGAGUUUGGGAGAGGGACGCGGAAUUCCUGGUGUAGCGGUGAAAUGCGCAGAUAUCAGGAAGAACACCUAUGGCGAAGGCAGCUCUCUGGGACGGUACUGACGCUGAGACGCGAAAGCGUGGGGAGCGAACAGG
This 253-nucleotide ribosomal RNA is filed under the name uncultured bacterium. RNAcentral describes it as "partial 16S ribosomal RNA". It matches the Rfam family "Bacterial small subunit ribosomal RNA", at positions 524 to 776 of the family's 1533-position model. The record is from RNAcentral.